UACGAAGGGGGCAAGCGUUGUUCGGAAUUACUGGGCGUAAAGGGCGCGUAGGCGGUGCACUAAGUCAGGCGUGAAAGCCCUGGGCUCAACCCGGGAACUGCGCUUGAUACUGGUGCGCUUGAAUCCAGGAGAGGUUGGUGGAAUUCCCAGUGUAGAGGUGAAAUUCGUAGAGAUUGGGAAGAACCCCGGUGGCGACGGCGGCAAACUGGACUGGUAUUGACGCUGAGGCGCGAAAGCGUGGGGAGCAAACAGG
Molecule: ribosomal RNA, 253 nt
Filed under: uncultured bacterium
Lineage: Bacteria
Description: partial 16S ribosomal RNA
Rfam family: Bacterial small subunit ribosomal RNA
Source: RNAcentral